UCUUCUUGGACUUGGAUGAUGAUGUGGCACUCUAAUAACAUAACUUGGGCCUUCAAGUUGUCUAUGAUGCUUCUAGAAUCUCCUUUGAAUCUUCUAUGCACGUUCAAACUUCCACACAUGAGGUUGAAGUAAGACAUUGCACAUUCUAGUCUAUCUUGAGCUGCCUUCAUUCAAACUGCUAUAUCUCUCUCCACAAAUAUCGAAAUCACGAACCGCCAAUUCUAUAGAACCUAGACACUCAGGGCUUUCUCUGCAUAUGUAGCUCGUUGUCUAAUUUGAUCUGAGCUGCUCUCAGUGAUUCGGUGAAGUUGGCUAAUCUGUAGAGACUGACUGCCAUAAUCCUGGGAUUUCUACGCCUCUUUCAAUCCUUCCUGCUCCAAUUACUUCUCUUUGCUCUUUGAACCUGAAAAACGACAAACUAAGUAAAAUUGAACUAAAUUACUUGAAAGUAUAAUACAAAUCUAAGGUAUAAAAAGGUAUAAAAACAUAGCAUAUAAUGGAUACAUCACCAAGGUGGGUUAAAGGCGGGUUAAGGCGUGCCAAGACUGGUCAAGACGGGUCAAGGCGGUCGAAAGCGGGCCAAGGCAGGUCUAGCUAAGCGGCCCUAGGAAUCCCCUUUGCGGGUCUAGGAGGGUUAAGGCAGCUCUAGGCGGGUCUAUGAGGGUUAAGGCGGCCUAACGCCGUUCAAGGCGGGUGAAGGCGGAUCUUGGCGGUCGAAAGCGGAACAAGGGGGCCUAAGGCAAUCCAAGGCGGCCCAAGGUAGGUUAAGGCGCCCCAUUGGCCGCCCCUUGGCUGCCCUAGUUGGGCCUAGAAGAGACGAGGAGGGUCAUGACGACCCCGAGGUGAGUCAUGGCGGCUUCUUGAUGGCCCUAGAUUGGCGUAGGAGGUUCAUGGCGGCUUCUUGGUGGCCCUAGGUGGGUCUAGGCGGCCCAAGGCAGUUUAAGGCGGCCCAUGGCAGCUCAAGGCAGCCUAUGGCGGCCCAAAGCGGGUUAAGACGGGCCAAGACGGGUCAAGGUGGCCGAAGGGGGGUCAUGGCGAGUAAAGGCAGGUCAAGGCGGGUCAAGGCAGGUCAAGGUGGCCCCUUGGGGAUGUAUGCAGCCCCUUGGCGGCCCUAGGCGGGUCAUGACGGUUUUUGAGGAGGUCAAAACAGCCCUAGGCGUGUAAAGGCAGCCCCUUGGCGGGUUAAGAGGUCCCCUUGGUGUCCCUAAGUGAGUUAUGGCGGCCCCCUUGGCUACCCUAGAAGGGCCGAGGAUGGUCAAGGUGGGUUAAGAGGGGUCAAGGCGGGUUAAGGUGGUUCAAGGCGGGUUAAAGCGGUCUAGGGCGGGUUAAGGCGGCCCAAGGCGGGUCAAGGCGGCCCUAGGCAGCCAUAGGUAGCCCCUUGACGGGUCUAGGAGGGUCAAGAUGGCCUAACGCGGUUCAAGGCGGGUCAAGGCGGCCUAAGGCUAGACAAGUUGCCACCUUGGCCGCAGCUUGGCUGCCCUAGGUGGGCAUAGAAGAGCUGAAGUGGGUCAUGGUGACCCCUUGGUGAGUCAUGGUGGUUUCUUGGUGGCCCUAGGAGGGUUAAGGCGGCCCAAGGCGGGUAAAGGCGGGUUAAAGCGGCCCAUGGCAGGCUAAGGCAAGUCAAGGCGGGUUAAGGCGGGCCAAGGCAGGUCAAGGCGGCCUAACGCGGUUCAUGGCNNNNNNNNNNNNNNNNNNNNACUAAGGCGGGUCAAGGCUCCCCCUUGGCCGCCCCUUGGCUGCCCUAGGUGGGGGUUAGAAAAGUCAAGGAGGGUCAUGGCUACCCCUUGGCUUGUCAUGGCGGCUUCUUGGUGGCCUUAGGUGGGUCUAGGAGGGUCAAGGCAGCCUAAGGCGGGUCGAAGUGGGUCAAGGUGGGUCAAGGCGGGCUAAGACAGGUCAAGGCGGGUCAUAACGAGUCAUGGCGGCUUCUUGGAGGGUCAAGGCGGCCCUAGGCACCCCUUUGGCAGGCCUACGAGGGUCAAGGUGGCCCAACACGGUUCAAGGCGGGUCAAGGCGGCCCAAGGCGGUCUAUGGCGAGUCAUGGCGGCUUCAUGGUGGCCCUAGGCGAGUCUAGGAGGGUCAAGGCGGCCCAAAGAGGUUCAAAGCGGGCAAAGACGGCCUAAGGCGGGUCAAGGCGGCCCAUGGUGGCCUAAGGCGGGUCAAGGCGGGCUAAGUCUGGUCUAGGCUGCCGAAGACGGGCCAAAGCGGGUCAAGGUGGCCCCUUGGCAGACGUAGGCAGCCCCUUGGUGGGUUAAGACGUCCCUAGGCGUGUAAAGACAACCCCUUGGUGGGUUAAGACAUCCCUUUGGCGGCUUUAGGCGUGUCAAGGCGACCCCCUUGGUGGCCCUAGGAAUGUGAAUGCGGCCUCUUGGCGGCCCUAGGUGGGUCAUGGCGCCCCCUUGGCUACUCUAGGUGGGCCUAGAAGGGCCAAGGAGGGUCAAGGCGAUAGAGCCUAGGAGGGUCAUGGCGACGCCUUUGCAAGUCAUGGCGGCUUCUUGGUGGCACUAGGCAGCCCAAGGCAGUUCAAGGCAGGCCAAAGAGAGUCAAGGCGGGUCAAAACGGUUCAAGGCGGAUCAAGACGGGUCAAAACGGGCCAAGACGGGUCAAGGCGGGCUAAGGAGGGUCAAGGUGGGCUAAGUCGGGCCAAGGCGAUCCUAUGCGGCCCUAGACGGGCCUAGGAGGGUCAUGGUGACCCCUUGGCGUGUCAUGGCGGCUUUUUGGUGGCCUUAGGUGGGCUUAGGAGGGUCAAGGAGGUUCAAGGCUGUAACGCCCCGAUUUGCACCUCUUCAAAUCAAGCACAUUACAGUGCCGCGCAUUCAUAGAACCCAAGCUAGGAUCCUUUACUCAAGUUCUAAGAACCCGCAAGGCAAAGGAAAAAUUUAAAAUUUAUAAAAAUGUUAGCAGAAAUGUUUAUUUAAGAUAAGGUGAAAAUAUAACACGUUUAGAUAUCUUUCAAAUCAAACAAGCCCUCUCUAAAACAAAAAUCAAUAUCAGUCCGGUUCAAGAUCAACGAUUUGAAAAGUUUGCAAGAUGAAUAGUUUCUCAAAUAUACACAUACUCGAUAAGGCGGCCCUAGGUGGGUUUAGAAGGGUCAAGGCGGGCUAAGGAGGGCCAAGGCGGUUCUAGGCGGCCCUAGGAGGGUCAUGGUGACCCCUUGGCGUGUCAUGGCGGCUUCUUGGUGGCCCUAGGUGGGUUUAGGAGGGUCAAGGCGGUUCAAGGCUGUCAUGGCGGCCCAAAGCAGGUCAAGGCGGGCUAAGGCGGGUCAAGGUGGCCAAUGUGGGCCUAAGGUGGGUCAAGUCGGCCCAUGGCGGCCCAAAGCAGGUCAAGGCGGGCUAAGACGGGUCAAGCGGCCCAAGGUAGGACAAGGCAGGUCAAGGCUGGAUAGUCUACGACAGUCAAGGUGGGUCAAGACAGUUCAAGACGGGUUAAGGUGGGCCAAGGCGGGUCAAGGCCGCCCAAGGAAGGCCAAGGCGGGUUAAAGGCGGGACAAGGUGGGUUAAGGUGGCCCUAGGCAGCCCCUUGGCGGGUCAAGGCGGUAGAAGGCGGGUCAAGGUGGCCUUAGGCAGCCCCUUGGUGGGUCUAGGAGGGUCAAGGCGGCCCAACACGGUUCAAGACUGGUCAAGGCAGAUCAAGACGGCCCAAGGUGGGUCUAGGCGGCCCAAGGCGGGUCAAGGCAGCCCAUGGCCGCUCAAGGCGGGUCAAGGCAGCCCAUGGCGGCCCAAAGCGGGUCAAGACGGGCUAAGACGGGUCAAGGCGGCCCAUGGCGGCACAUCGCGGGUCAAGGCGGUCAAAGGCAGGUCAAGUCGGGUCAAGGUGGAUCCAGGUGNNNNNNNNNNNNNNNNNNNNNNNNNNNNNNNNNNNNNNNNNNNNNNNNNNNNNNNNNNNNNNNNNNNNNNNNNNNNNNNNNNNNNNNNNNNNNNNNNNNNNNNNNNNNNNNNNNNNNNNNNNNNNNNNNNNNNNNNNNNNNNNNNNNNNNNNNNNNNNNNNNNNNNNNNNNNNNNNNNNNNNNNNNNNNNNNNNNNNNNNNNNNNNNNNNNNNNNNNNNNNNNNNNNNNNNNNNNNGGUGGCUUCUUGGUGGCACUAGGCGGUUCAAGGCGGGCCAAGGCAGGUCAAGGGCGGUCCAAGGUGGGCGAAGGCGUUCCAAGGCGGGUCAAGGUGGCCCAAGGCGGUCCAAGGCAAGUCAAGGCGGGCCAAAGCGGGCCAAAGCGGGUCAAGGUAGGUCAAGGCGGGUGAAAGCGGGCCAAGGCAGGUCAAGGCGGUCCAAGACGAGCCAAGGCGGUCCUAGGUGGGUCAAGGCGGCCAAAGCGGUCAAAGGCGGGUUAAGACGGGCCAAGUCGGGUCAAGGUGGCCCUUUCGCAGACGUACGCAGCCCCUUAGCGGCCCUAGGCGGGUCAUGGAGGUCCCUAGGGAGGCCAAAAUAGCCCUAGGCAUGUAAAGACAGCCUCUUGGCGGGUCAAGACGUCCCCUUGGCGGCCCUAGGCGUGUCAUAGCUGCCCCCUUGGCGGCCUUAGGAAUGUUAAGGCGGCCUCUUGGCGGCCCUACACGGGUCAAGGCAUGUACAGGCAGCCCCUUAGCUGCCCUCGGUGGGCCGAGGAGGGUCAAGGCGGCCAAUCAUGGGUCAAGGCGGGUUAAGGCGGGCCAAGAGGCCAAGACGGGCCUAGGAGGGUCAUGGCGGCUUCUUGGUGGCACUAGGCGGACCAAGGCUAUUCUAGGCGGGUUCAGGGGGACCAAAACCAGCCAUGGCAGGUCAAGGCGGUCCAAGGCGGGUCAAGGUGAAUCAAGGUAGGUCAAGGCGGAUCAAGGCGGAUCAAAGCGGCCCAAGACGGGCCAAGGUGGGUCAAGGUGGCCUUAGACGGGUCAAUAUAGCCCCAUGACGGCUGUAAGUAGCCCUUUGGCGGCCCUAAGCAGGUCAAAGCGGGUCUAUGGCGGGUAAAGGCUCCCCCAAGGCGGCCUAAGACGGGUAAAGGCUCCCUCUUGGCCGCCCUUUAGCUACCCUAGGUGGGCCUAGAAGAGCCGAGGAGGGUCAUGACGACCCCUUGGGGAGUCAUGGCGGCUUCUUGGUGGCCUUAGACGGGCCUAGGAGGGUCAUGACAACCCCUUGGCGAGUCAUGACGGCUUCUUGGUGGCCCUAAGUGGGUCUAAGAGGGUCAAGGCGGCCCAAGGCGAUUCAAGCCGGGUAAAGGAGGGUCAAGACGGCCCAUGGCGGCCUAAGGCGGGUCAAAACUCCCCUUGGCCGCCCCUUGACUGCCCUAGGUGGGCCUAGAAGAGCCGAGGAGGGUCAUGGCGACCCUUAGCGACGUCGAUGGCGGCUUCUUGGUGGCCCUUGACAGGCCUAGGAGUGUCAUGGCGACCCCUUGGCGAGUCAUGGCGGCUUCUUGGUGGCCCUAGGUGGGUCUAGGAGGGUCAAGGUAGGUAAAGGCUGGUCAAGGUGGCCUGUGGCAGCCCAUGGUGGGUCAAGGCGGGUCAAAGCGCCCCUUUGGCCGCCCCUUGGCUGCCCUAGAUGGGCUUAGAAGAGCCGAGGAGGGUCAUGGCCAGUCAUGGCGGUUUCUUGGUGGCCCUAGGUGGGUCUAGGAGGGUUAAGGCGGCCCAAGGAGGGUCAAGGCGGUCCAAGGCUAGUCAAGGCGGCCUAACGCGGUUCAACGCGGGUAAAGUCAAACCAAGGCGGGUCAAGGCGGCCCAUGGCAGCCUAAGGCGGGUCAAGGCAGCCCAAAACGGUUUAAGGCGGCCCAAGGCUGGUUAAGGCGGCCCUAGGAGGGUCAAGGCGGGUUAAGGAGGCCCCAAGAAAGUGAAACUAGUUAGAAACUCAUGUGCUAUAGCAAGUGGUUUUCGCUCGAAUUUGGUGAAAUUUGAAAUGAGGGGCAAUACCUCAUUUUCUUUUAAAAUUAAGGUUCCCGGUGUCAAUAUGAAAAGAAUUGAAGAAAAUGGAAUCUUGGAAAGUCAAUCAGUUCUAAUUAAAACAACAAUUUCAACAGCUUUAUAAAACACGACACGUGUGAGUUUAUUUAGGCCCGAUCGCAAGUAAAUUGAUAAAAGACAAGGAUUUUUGAAGCUAGAAUGGAUUACUAUAUGUUAAGAGGUGUCUGUAAGCACACCUAAACGGAAAAAGCCAGAGGCCCAAUAAAAGUGAAACUUGCCAAAAACUUGUGUAGCAAAGUGUUGUGGCUCGAAUUGGGGGAAACUUGAAAUGAGAGGCAAUACCUUAUUUUCUUUUGAAACUAAGGUUUCCGAUGUCAAUAUGAGAAGAAUUGAAGAGAACAUAAUCUUAAAAAGUCACUCAAUACUAAUUAAAACAACAAUUUCAAUUGUUUUACAAAAUACAACACUUGUGAGUUAUUUAGGCCCGAUCGCAAGUAAAUUGAUAAAAGACAAGGAUUUUUGAAACUAGAAUGGUUCAAUAUAUGUUAAGAGGUGUCUAUAAGCACACCUGAGUGAAAAAAGCCGGAGUCCCAAAAAAAGUGAAACUGGCUAGACUCUCAUGUGCUGUAGCAAGUGGUUAUGGCUCGAAUUGGGUGAAAUUUGAAAUGAGGGGCAAUACCUCAUUUUCUUUUAAAAUUAAGGUUCCCGGUGUCGAUAUGAAAAGAAUUGAAGAAAACAGAAUCUUGAAAAGUCACUCAAUUCAAAUUAAAACUGCAAUUUCAAUAGCUUUACAAAACACGACACGCGUGAGUUUAUUUAAGCUCGAUCGCGAGUAAAUUGAUAAAAGACAGAUUUUUAAAGCUAGAAUGGUUUACUAUAUGUUAGGAGGAUUCUGUAACCACACCUGAACAGAAAAAGCCGGAGGCCCAAAAAAAGUGAAACUGGGCAGAAACUCGUGUGCUAUAGCAAGAGAUUUUGGCUUAAAUUAUGUAAAACUUGAAAUGAGGGACAAUACCUCAUUUUCUUUUGAAACUAAGGUUUCCAAUGUCAAUAUGAGAAAAAACUGGAGGCCCAAAAAAGUGAAACUUGCUAAAAACUCAUGUAGCAAGGGGUAAAGGCGACCCAAGUCAGUUCAAGGCGGCCUAAGGCUGGUCAAGGAGGCCCAUGGCGGGCCUACGAGGGUCAAGGCGGGCCCAUGGCUGGUCAAGGCUUCCCAUGACAGGCCACAGUGGUUUAAGGCGGCCAUAACCGGGUCAAGGCGGCUCCUUGGUAGCCCUAGAUAGGUCAAGGCGGCCUCUUAGCGGCCCUAGCAAGGCGGCCUUAGACCGGUGAAGGCGGCUCCUUGGCGGCCCUAGACAGGUCAAGGCGGCCCAUGGCGGGUCAAUGCGGCCCUAGGAGGGUCAAGGCGGCCAAAGGCGGUUCAAAGCGAGUCAAGGCGGCCCCCUGGUGGCUCUAAGCGGGUUAAGGUGGCCCCUUAGCGGCCCUAGGCAUCCCUUUGGCGGCCCUACGCGGGUCAUGGCAGCCCCUUGGCUGCCCUAAGAGGGCCUCGAAGGGUCAAGGCGGGUUAAGGCGGCCCUAGACGGGUGAAGGCCGCUCCUUGACGGCCUUAGACGGGUCAUGGCGGCCCCCUGGUGGACCUAGGUGGGCCUAGGAGGUUCAAGGCAGCACCUUAGCGGCCCAAGGCGGUCGCUUAAUGGCCCUAGGCAGGUCAAGGCGGCCUCUUGGCGGUCCCUUACCCCUAGGCGGGCCUAGCAGGGCCGAGGAGGGUCAAGGCGGCCCAAUGUCGGCCAAGAUGGGUCAAGGCGGCCCGAUGGAGGGUCAUGGCCCCUUGGCGACUUUAGGCGGGUGAAGGCAGUCCUAGGCGGGUAAUGGCGACCCCUUGGCUGCCCUAGGAGGGUUAAGGCAGCCCGUUGGCGGGUCAAGGCAGCCCCUUAGCGGCCUUAAAGGGGUGAAGGCGGCCUGUUGGCGACCUCAGGAGGGUUAAGGCGGCUCAAAAACGGGAAACUAGCUAGAAACUCGUGUGUCAUAUCAAGUGAUUUUCGCUCGAAAUAGGUGAAAUUUGAAAUGAGGAGCAAUAACUUAUUUUCUUUUAAAAUUAAGGUUCUCGGUGUCAAUAUAAAAAGAAUUGAAGAAAAUAAAAUCUUGGAAAGUCACUCAAUUCUAAUUAAAACAACAAUUUCAACAGCUUUAUAAAACAUGGUAUGCGUGAGUUUAUUUAUGCCCGGUCGUGAGUAAAUUGAUAAAAGCCCGAUCGUGAGUAAAUUGAUAAAAGAAACGGAUUUUUGAAGCUAGAAUGGAUCACUAUAUGUUACGAGGUGUCUGUAAGCACAUCCGAAUGGAAAAAGCCGGAGGCCCUAAAAAAGUGAAACUUGCCGGGAACUUGUGAGCUAUAACAAGGGGUUUUGGCUCGAAUUUGAGUGAAACUUGAAAUGAGGGACAAUACCUUCUUUUCAUUUGAAACUAAGGUUUCCAAUGUGAAUAUGAGAAGAAUUGAAGAGAAUAUAAUUUUAAAAAGUCACUCAAUACCAAAAAACAGCAAUUUAAACAGAUUUACAAAAUAUGGCACGCGUGAGUUUAUUUAGGCCCGAUCGCGAGUAAAUUGAUAAAACACACGGAUUUUUGAAGCUAGAAUCGAUUACUAUAUGUUAGGAGGUGUCUGUAAGCACACACGAACGGAAAAAGCCAGAGGCCUAAAAAAAGUGAAACUUGCCGGGAACUUGUGUGUUAUAGCUAGGGGUUUUAGCUCAAAUUUGGUGAAACUUGAAAAGAGGGACAAUACCUUAUUUUCAAUUGAAACUAAGGUUUCCAAUGUGAAUAUGAGAAGAAUUGAAGAGAAUAUAAUUUUAAAAAGGCACUCUAUACCAAUUAAAACUGUAAUUUCAACAGCUUUACAAAACACGACAAGCUUGAGUUUCUUUAGGCCCGAUCGCGAGUAAAUUGAUAAAAGACAUGGAUUUUUGAAGCUAGAAAGGAUCACUAUAUGUUAGGAGGUGUCUGUAAUGACACCCGAAUGGAAAAAGCCGGAGGCCCAAAAAAGUGAAACUUGAUAGAAACUCGUGUGCUAUAACAAGGGGUUUUGCUCGAAUUGGGCGAAACUUGAAAUGAGGGACAAUACCUUAUUUUCAUUUGAAACUAAGGUUUCCAAUGUGAAUAUGAGAAGAAUUGAAGAGAAUAUAAUUUUAAAAAGUCACUCAAUACCAACUAAAACAACAAUUUCAACAGCUUUACAAAUACGGCAUGCAUGAGUUUAUUCAGGCCCCUUGGCAGACGUAAGAGGGUCAAGGGGGCCGCUAUGCAGGUUAAGGCGGCCCCUUGGCAGUCCUAGGCGGGUCAUGGUGGCCCUUUUAAUGCCCUUGGAGGGUCAAGGUGGCCCCUCGGUGGCCCUAGAUGGGUCAAGGCGGCCCCUUGGUGGCCCUAGAUGGGUCAAGGCGUCCUCUUGGCAGCCCUAUAUGGGUCAUGGCGGUCUUAGGAGGGUCAAGGCGUGCCAAGGUGGGUCACGGCGAUCUUAGGCUGGUCAAGGCGGCCCCGUGGUGGCCCUAAGCGGGUCAUGGCGGCCCCUUGGCAGCCCUAGGAGGGUUAAGGCGGACCAAAGUGGGUCAAGGCGGGCCUAGGAGGGUCAAGGCGGGCCAAGGUGUGUUAAGGCUGCCCUAGGCGGGUCAUGAGGACCCCUUUGUGACACAACCCACCCCGAAUUUCACCCUGAAACCCAGAGUAAGUCGUGCGGGGACCACCUCCAAGAAAAAUUUACCGAAAAAUCGGCAUAACCUCCCUUGAAAAAUGGACAACCCUUCCUAAUAAUACCUGCAAACACUUCUGAAAAUUUAAAUCCAACCUUAAACUCCUGGAGCCU
RNAcentral lists this long non-coding RNA (9703 nucleotides) under Fragaria vesca (wild strawberry). RNAcentral describes it as "long non-coding RNA (FVES_LNC002048)". Lineage: Eukaryota; Viridiplantae; Streptophyta; Magnoliopsida; Rosales; Rosaceae. The record is from RNAcentral.